CUUGAUGGGGUAAGGCUCCCAGUAGACGACUGGGUUGAUAGGCCAGAUAUGGAAGCCGGGUAACCGGUGGAGUUGACUGGUACUAAUAGGCCGAGGGCUUGUCCUCAGUUG
RNAcentral lists this ribosomal RNA (111 nucleotides) under Streptomyces palmae. RNAcentral describes it as "partial 23S ribosomal RNA". It matches the Rfam family "Bacterial large subunit ribosomal RNA", at positions 2819 to 2925 of the family's 2925-position model. The record is from RNAcentral. Lineage: Bacteria; Bacillati; Actinomycetota; Actinomycetes; Kitasatosporales; Streptomycetaceae.